AUGUUACCAAGAACAAAACGAGCGCAAACAAUUCAGACCUACCUCACAGUGACGACGAUGAAGAAAUCCCCUUCUGGCGAAAGUCUCGAUGUACAGUUGCAGUUAAAAACAAACGAAUAUGAAAGUUGUUGUUUGUUGCAGUUUGCAGGUUUUCUGUUGAAGCUACAUCAAAUUCAGAAAUUGAAUGAUGGUUAUGACGUCGAUUCACCGACUCUGGAUGUCGAGGGAUGA
This is a non-coding RNA of Vicia faba (fava bean), 231 nucleotides long. NCBI's taxonomy places the organism in Eukaryota, Viridiplantae, Streptophyta, Magnoliopsida, Fabales, Fabaceae. The record is from the annotation of a GenBank genome assembly.